CUGCAGCUCAAGUGGUGAUCGAUUUUAUUGAGCCUAAAGCGUCCGUAGCCGGACUAGUAAACCCUUGGGUAAAUUGGGCAGCUUAACUGUCCAAAUUCCGAGGGGACUGCUAGUCUUGGGACCGGGAGAGGCCAGAGGUACUCAAGGGGUAGGGGCUAAAUCCUGUAAUCCUUUGGGGACCACCAGUGGCGAAGGCGUCUGACUAGAACGGAUCCGACGGUAAGGGACGAAACCCUGGGGCGCGAACCGGAUUAGAUACCCGAGUAGUCC
This 270-nucleotide ribosomal RNA is filed under the name uncultured archaeon. RNAcentral describes it as "partial 16S ribosomal RNA". It matches the Rfam family "Archaeal small subunit ribosomal RNA", at positions 477 to 747 of the family's 1478-position model. The record is from RNAcentral.